Molecule: long non-coding RNA, 1152 nt
Organism: Vitis riparia (riverbank grape)
Lineage: Eukaryota; Viridiplantae; Streptophyta; Magnoliopsida; Vitales; Vitaceae
Exons: 3
Source: RefSeq, a predicted model, not a curated record
GUUUUCACAUUCCUAAGUGUUUCCCUCGUUUCCGCCCAAAGAAUGCCCUAAUCCUCUCUUCAUUUGGAGUUUGCCGACCAUCCGAUUAAAAACAAAAUCGACGUUGGAUUUCCAUUUCGUUUUCCCCAAAAUUGAGAGGCGUUUUCACAUUCCUGAGUGUUCCCUCGUUUCCGCCCAAAGAAUGCCCUAAUCCUAUCUUCAUCUGGAGUUUCCCGGCCAUCCGAUUUUAGGUGUAAACGGUGGAGUUUUUCAUCUCUGUCAAUCCAUUGGUGUCGACGAUCACCACCGGAUUUGGGUUCUACACAGGAUGAAGCCAAGGCACCACAACCAGAGAAUGUGUUGAACAUCAGAUAUGGAAUUGCUGGUAAUAGAACAAUCGGAGCUCAUACGCCUGUCACUGUGGAACCUGCUGGAUCUGAGGGUUCUACACAGGAUUUAAUCUUCAGGAGUGCUCUUGUUUUACAGAGACCUGUGAUGGAUCCGUGCCUUGCAGUUGGUUUUCUUCCUCUUUCUUCAGAAGACUUUAGAGUUGGGUAGCUAGUAACCAUGAAAUGAAGAGUUGAAAGGUUGAAGGAUUUUGAUGAGAAUGCAGUUUCUCAAAACAAUGAUGAGGUAUUAUACGAAGUCAAUGCAAAUUCUGAGAAUUGGAUGAUUGUCGAGAGGAAGAGAGGCCAUGUAUCACUCUCAACAAAGCAAGGUUCGAGGAUAGUUAUUUCUAUUUUGUGCAUGCCACUGAUGGCCGGAUACGUACAUCCCCCAAAGCUUGGGCUUCCAAACGUUGAUGAGGCAAAUAUAAGUUGUAACCCUGCUGGUCCCCACCUGGUCUGUGUUUUGCCUCCUGUUUUCAGCUCUUCUUUCUGUAUUCCAGCAUGAUUAUUCAAGUUCAUCAUCCAUUUCCAUUAUGGUUGGAUUGGGGUUUUUCUUUUCUUUUCUUUUCAUUUCAUUUCAUUUCAUUUCAUUUCAUAAAAAAAUUAUAAUGAUAGAUAUAGAUAUUAGAUAUCCGAUUUUUGUUUAACGUUGAGAUUUGUAAAUCUGUAAUUUUACCCCCAACAGCCCACCAAGAUCCACACAUCCCAACUGCUUGGUGGUUGAUUGUAUUUUUGUUUGCUUUUCAAUUUUCAGAAAAUCAAGAGAACUCUCAUUUGAAUUGAA